Molecule: small RNA, 21 nt
Filed under: Karenia brevis
Lineage: Eukaryota; Dinophyceae; Gymnodiniales; Kareniaceae
Description: trans-spliced leader sequence SL
Source: RNAcentral
CCGUGGCCAUUGUGGCCCAAG